Molecule: unclassified non-coding RNA, 264 nt
Filed under: Hevea brasiliensis (rubber tree)
Lineage: Eukaryota; Viridiplantae; Streptophyta; Magnoliopsida; Malpighiales; Euphorbiaceae
Source: RNAcentral
GAGCAUAGCCUCUGUAAUGUGAUGAGGGUCUCUCCUGCCGUCGGCAGAAAUAUCAAAUUCAUUCUCCAAAUCAUCUGUAUCCUCCUCUUCUUCAUCCCCUUCAACUCUAGGACUCCCUUUGAUACGCUUGUAUCUGGUUUUGCAUUGAGGACAGGGCUUGGUUUCCCUCUCUUCUUUCAAACUCAUAGCAGGGUCUACAAACAGGGAAUGCACAUUCAUUGCAAGCAACAAAUGGCUCCCCAUCUACUGUAACCUCUAUCUCAU